CCCUUAGAUGUUCUGGGCCGCACGCGUGCUACACUGAGUAAAUCAAUGGGUAAGGGAACACGAAAGUGCAACCUAAUCUUCAAAUUUGCUCGUGAUGGGGAUCGACGGUUGCAAUUUUCCGUCGUGAACGAGGAAUACCUUGUAGGCGCGUGUCAUCAUCACGCGCCGAAUACGUCCCUGCCCUUUGUACACACCGCCCGUCGCUCCUACCGAUUGAGUGAUCCGGUGAGGCUCUGGGACCUGGACGGAAAGAGCGUUUCGCUUGCUCUGUUUGGGAAACUUGGUCGAACCUUAUCAUUUAGAGGAAGGAGAAGUCGUAACA
This 322-nucleotide ribosomal RNA is filed under the name uncultured eukaryote. Its description in RNAcentral is "partial 18S ribosomal RNA". It matches the Rfam family "Eukaryotic small subunit ribosomal RNA", at positions 1470 to 1796 of the family's 1831-position model. The record is from RNAcentral.